Molecule: long non-coding RNA, 1858 nt
Organism: Gallus gallus (chicken)
Lineage: Eukaryota; Metazoa; Chordata; Aves; Galliformes; Phasianidae
Source: Ensembl
CCAUGUGGUUCUCUGAAUGAACUAUAACAUCAAGAGAGUUUCAGUCAAAAGUUGUUUUCCAUUUGGUUAGCACAGAGAAAGAAAAAAAACUUUGAAUGUGUCAUUAAGUUUUUGUUUAUGAAGGUAGUUUUAAAGCAGAUUAUUUGUUUGUUCUCUAUACAACUUCCAAAGUCAGAUAUAAUUUCUUCCUCUUAUAUGCCCGAGGAAGGAUGUUAGGAAUGAGGAGAGUUUCCAAGGCUCAGAUUCCAGGAUGACAUUGCUGGCGUGCUCCACACAGGACAAGACUAAUUCCAUGAUAUUUGCCUCUCUUGAAUAAAUGGUGACUCAUCUCUGAACCUCAAAUUUCAGUCUCAGCUACCUAGGAAUCAGCAACAAUCAGAGAAAAGGGAUGUAGGGCAGUUACAGUAAAAACAAACAUAAGAACAGAAAAUCAAAGGGCAGCAAAAAAACAACACUGCCAAAUAAAACCUCCCCUCCCCUGCCCUUCCUUCCUUUUCUUUCCCUUUCUCCUUCUUAGGGGAAAGAAGCAGUGGGGAAAAGAAAAAAGAAAAAGAAAGAAAGAAAGAAAGAAAGAAAGAAAGAAAGAAAGAAAGAAAGAAAGGAAGAAGAAAGAAAGAAAGGAAGAAAGGAAGAAAGGAAGAAAGGAAGAAAGGAAGAAAGGAAGAAAGGAAGAAAGAAAGAAAGAAAGAAUUAAAAAAAAGAAAGAAAAUAAAAAAAAAACACUUUCUUUCCAGAAGUCUUUAAACCAUUGCAGCUGCCUUCUGCAGUGGAGUGGGAGAUUGCUGUGCAAGAGAGGACUCCAAAAACCAAGGAUAAAACAGUUCUCAAGAGAACAGAUCAUCUGACAAAGAGGAGCCUACUAACAAGGCCUUCUUGCUUCAGCAUCAAGAGGCAUCGUGCUCACAGACUUUCAUCUUGAUGGGAGAUUUCAACCGCAUGGAUGUAAGCUGGGAAAACAACAUGGAAGGUUGAAAAUAUUCCAAGAGACUGCUGAAGAUAACUACCUGGUCCAGGUAUUGGACAGAUCAACUAGAGGUGAAGCAUUGCUGGACCUGGUGCCCAGCAAUGCAGAGAAAAUAAUUGGAGAUGUUAAAGUUGGAGACAGUCUGGACUGUAGAGACCACGUCCUGGUUGAGUUCAUGAUCUCAAGAAACACAGGCCUAGCAAAGAAUUGAGUCAGGACCCUGAACUUCAGAAGAAGGAACUAUUGGCAGUUUAAGAAUUAUUGGAGAAGAUUCCUCUGAGAGACUGUUCUUAAGGACAUAGGAAAAAAUGUACCUGGUAGCUCUAUAAGGAUAUAUUUCUGAGACCUUUUCAACCCCCAGCAUAAUAAAUCAAAUACAGGAGGCGGGAAAUCAGCAAGGCUGAGCAAGAAUUGAUUGGUCAAAUCAAGGGACAAGAUGGAAAAGUGCAGAUGGUGGAAGCAGGGACAUAUGGCCUGGGAAGAAGGGAUGCCAUCCGGACAUGCAGGGAUGAGAUCAGAAAAGCCAAGAUGCAGGUGGAGCUGAACUUGAUGAGGGAUGUGAAAAAUAACAAGUCUUUCUUUAGGUAUACCGGUCCGAAGAGACAAGCAAACUGGCUUCAACAGACACGGAGAAGGAUGACGUACUGAAGAAGUUCUUUUCCUUGAUCUUCUCUGCUAGUUAGGCUUAUCAUGUCUCUUAUGUCCCUGAAACUCAAGCUCUCCUCCCUGCUGCUCGACCUGACUGCACAUCUCGCCUCAGCGUUGUGCAUUCUAUUCACCUACUGAGAGGCUGCACAGAAACCAGUGACACCAGCUUUUCAGCUACUAGGAUAUCCCAGAGGACAGAACAUUAAAGCAAGCAAAAAUGAAGAACUGAUCUGAGAAAAUCUUGAG